This 405-nucleotide ribosomal RNA is filed under the name uncultured bacterium. RNAcentral's name for it is "partial 16S ribosomal RNA". It matches the Rfam family "Bacterial small subunit ribosomal RNA", at positions 360 to 776 of the family's 1533-position model. The record is from RNAcentral.
AAUAUUGCACAAGGGUCGCAAGCCUGAUGCAGCGACGCCUCGUUGGGGAUUACUGCCUUUGGGUUGUAAACUCCUUUCGACAGGGACGAAGCUUUGGUGACGGUACCUGUAAAAGAAGCACCGCCUAACUACUGGCCAUCAGCCGCGGUAAUACGUAGGGUGCGAGCGUUGUCCGGAAUUACUGGGCGUAAAGAGCUCGUAGGUGGUUUGUCGCGUCGUCUGUGAAAUCCCGGGGCUUAACCUCGGGCGUGCAGGCGAUACGGGCAUAACUUGAGUGCUGUAGGGGAGACUGGAAUUCCUGGUGUAGCGGUGAAAUGCGCAGAUAUCAGGAGGAACACCAAUGGCGAAGGCAGGUCUCUGGGCAGUAACUGACGCUGAGGAGCGAAAGCAUGGGUAGCGAACAGG